RNAcentral lists this long non-coding RNA (958 nucleotides) under Triticum aestivum (bread wheat). Its description in RNAcentral is "long non-coding RNA (TAES_LNC020744)". The record is from RNAcentral. Lineage: Eukaryota; Viridiplantae; Streptophyta; Magnoliopsida; Poales; Poaceae.
GCUCAUUGAAUCUGUGGGGACAGAGUAAGUGCCUCUCAAUCAUAUUUUCAACACAUGACAACAUUUUCUUAUUAUACACAUGGCAAUCAUUUGAUUCUUUUGCAGAAACUGGAUCCUUCGCGGAAAUGGCCGUAAACCGAACGGCCUUAUCACUGUCAUGUUGAAGCACUUUUGGCCUGGCCUAUUCUGCCCGCGGCCAGACAGGGACCCGCAGCUGCGGGUUUUGGCCACGAGGUGGACCCACUACGAGGCUUGCAGCAACGCGGAGUACGGGACGGCCGCUAAGGCCGUGAUCACCAAAUUUUGGGUAAGUUCUCUUCUAAAUCACUUGUCUUCAGUUUCGUUCAUAGUUUAUCAUUGGAUCACUCAACUCAUGCCUUGUUUGCUUCUGGUUUAUGCAGCAACUCUAUAGAGUUCUUGACGAGCACAAGGCCAGAGCCGACGUGGUCUUGCUUGCGGCUGCGAAGAAGAAAGCUCGUCAGUUGCAGUACGAGGUGCGCUGGGUUGCCGUCUCGCAGUACUACCACUACUACCUGCACCAAAAGAUGACCAAAAGUCAAGCGCAGAAGCAGCGACUUACCUUGAACAGGGAGCAGUUCAUGAUGGUAACUAUUACUAACUUUUCAUUGUUUCAAGCAGUCAACUCUAUGUUUCGUGCUCACAUGUCAUGCUUCCAAAAUUUGCAUAGGUUGUUCCUCGUUGGUGCUAUGGAAGGCAUGACGGAUGGGCGAGUUUGGUGGAUAGGUGGCUCGGCACCGAUGCAGAGUUUGCUGCCAAGAGCAUCAAGGGCCGGGCUAACCGUGGAGCCGACGGGACACACGGCCAAGGAAACAGGAACCACUGGAGCUUCAAGGCCAUGAAGGUAUAUCUAUGUGCAUGAUGCAUUUUUGUUCUUCUUUACCGUCAUGUUCUUAUGUAUGGCUAACUUCUAUUUGACGUUGUAGGAGGACAAGUUGAA